UAAAGAGAAAAAUUAGUUUAAUUUUUACAGUAUUUUUUUCAACAUUUUUAAAUUACCAACCAUUGAAUUUUUUACCUAUCGAUAAUACAUUGAUAACGGCUUUGCAGUUUUCUACAUUAUCGUUACAUCAAGACAAUUUUAGUUAUAUCAAAUUCCACUAGGGGAUAUUCAUAAGAUCGAAAAGAAAUUCUUUUUUUAAUGUUAAUUUAGUCAAAGUUAAAAUAGAGGAGCAUUUUAUUUCUGUUUUUUUUUUUUUCUUUUAGAUUUUAAUAAUAUUAUUAUUGAUAUAAGAAAUUGAUUUAAGUUUUCAUUAUCAUAUAUAUAUAUAUAUAUACACACACACAUACACAUAUAUAUAAAUGUAGUAUACAUAGAGGUUAUUUAAAAACUGGUUGAGAACCAAGAAGAACGGUUAACCUCUUUUAUUUAAUCGAAAGUCAAAGGGUAACUAGGUGCACAUUUUGUGGUCCAAGUUUGCUCUUCUCUCGAGUGGACAAUGGUCGUUUGGUGGGUCAUAGAAAAAAAAAAACUUCAAAAAGAGAAAAGGAAGAAAGAAAAGGGAGACAGAAUCCCCUUCUGAUGAUGGACCAGUUUUCUGUUGCAGGAAAUGACUCUAAGAACGGAGGAUGGUAGAAUAUAUAUAUUCUACCAUUCUAUAUAUACAUAUAUAUAGGUGUCAAAGGUUAACUGGAUUCAUUUGGAGACCAUAGGCUUGCGUAUAAUAUAGUAUGGGCGCACAGCAUCACCCUUUAUUCCGGAUGGACCAGUUUUUCAACGGGGACGUUCCUAUAGGAGAAUUUUCAACGGGAUUCUGAGGCCCGGGCCAGGACCUCGGCACGCGAACUAACAGGUUUCCACGAGAGUUCCUGAAUCUGUCGACGACGAAAAAUAGAUCGUGAUCCAGAUCAGGUGAAAACUGGUCCACUCUUAGUAACCUCUUUCAUAUCUUUUAAAUUGAUAUAAAGGAUGGCAUUUAACGAGUAAAAAAAAAACGACAAGAAAAUUUGGUUCUGAAGAAGUAAGGAAAGAAGGUAGGAAAGGAAGAGAAAAAAGAAAGUAAAAAGAAGAAAGAAAAUAAGAAAGAAAAGAAAAGAAGAGAAAAGAAAAGAAAAAAAAGAAAAGAAAUAAAAAGGAUCCUGAACGUUCAAUCAAAAGGAUGGGAAACAAAGGCCGUUGACAUGUGUGUCACAUGAUACGCUGAGACCAGCCCACAUUGGCCACUUCUUUUACCUGUCCAUCACUCGGUUGCUUUUCUAAAGAUGAGAAGUCUCGCUUGAAAGAGGACAUUUGCGUCCGUACGCGAGUUAUUGUGCACCUUUAUCGUUCCUUUCGGGAAACAUUAUCGAAGGAAGAUGAUACUUUUAUCGUUACUCAUCAUAAAAUAAGAGAUAUCUUCUUUUUGCGCUUUUUAAAUCGUCGAUCGUCGGUCCCGUCGUCGACAGCUGCGAAAUCUUUCCGCUUGAUAAUAGCUAUCAGUUUCUCAUCUAAAGUAUCUACUGGGCGAUCAAUCCCAGAUAUCGAUAAUAUUUAUUUAAAAGUAAGGAACCACCGGAGAUGCGAUAAAAUUGGAAAUUUUCUACUCUUUCCGUCCACGGGAAUAGAGGGGUGUUAAAUUCUCUGUGAGAUUCGAUUGGCCAAUGCUUUGGCGGUGGGCAUACAUUUCCCGUCCGGAAGAAACGAUCAUUUUGAAAAAGCCACCAGGUGACGAGAGAUUCGAUCGGUUUCGCUUUUCAUACAGGAAAUUAGAAGACGCGUCAUCUGGUUCUGGUCUAGUAAGAGUAGCAACCCUUUACUCGAACGGGGUAGCUUCGCAGCGGGGCCCUAUCACACCUCUUCGAGACGUAGAUUCUUCAUAUAUGAGCCCAGUUACGUUUCGGGCUUGCUUAAGGAAAGAUCGUGAUUGUGCUUGAUCUCGAUGAAAAUCGAUAGUACAAAUUGUUAUCGUGUAUUCGUCGAUUUAAUCGAAUGUAAUCGAAGACGAAGAUCAAUCGAAGUUUGUAAUAAAAGAUUUCACGUUCGCAUGGAGUUUUGACACGUCUAUAUCGGGACGGAAUUUUUCCAAAGAAAUAAACGAAAUACAGAAUUAAAAAUAUUUUCAAAAAGGAAUUUAUUAUCAGAAGUCCGAUCGACGAUCACUUUUGUAAAAGAAAAUGUAUAUUCGAUUCUAAUUUAUAAUCUGAAUUCCAAUGCAUUGAAAUGCACCAUAACAAGAGGACGUAUGAAUGAUUAUAGUUAACAAAUAAAUAAACGUGAAAGCCUUGUCGUAUUCCUCUCCAGCUACGUCAUCCAAGCCAUCCU
Molecule: long non-coding RNA, 2298 nt
Organism: Vespula vulgaris
Lineage: Eukaryota; Metazoa; Arthropoda; Insecta; Hymenoptera; Vespidae
Exons: 8
Source: RefSeq, a predicted model, not a curated record